GAAAUCCAUAAGGAUGGACGUCCAUCUCAUUUAUGUGGUCCUAGAGUCUUGAACAGUACCUAGCACUUAGUGGGGAUUUGAUUCGCAUUUGUUGACUGCGUUUUAAGUGAGCAAAAAUGCUCCCUGAAGGUUUGCUUCAGAGCAGAGUGGUUACACCAAUUCCUGUCCGGGAAUUGUCCUGUGCUCCAGCCAUGGCUAGGACUUAUGUGGAGGGAGUCUCCCGGAGCCUUGUGAAGCCCUUCUCGCUGUCCCGGGCUUUUGUUGGCAGCUUCCUCCUUUGAGGAGGUGCCUGCUGCAUCUGUCACUGCAGCCCUGUCUCUGGAGUGGGCGGAGGCAGCCUGGGGAACCCAUUUAUCUCCUGCAGGCUGGAAGUGUGCUAUGAGGUUCCUGGCAGAGCAAGACUCCAUCUCCCCAGCCUCCUCCAUCCGUCUCCCAGGGUGCCUUUGUUUUGAAUCAUUUUUGAUUUCAAUUUAAGAAGAGAAAGAAGAGGCUGAGAUGAAGGAAGGAGGGACUCCAGCAGCUCUGUCACUGUGCUGUCGUCCUCCACGGAGACCACUUUCACCGGGACGGCCACCGUCUUCCCCGUGAGGAUGGCUGUGUUCAGGAUUUCUGCCUCCUGGAAGACCAAACACACCCUUCCAUGACAUCCCCUCCUGAGACGGCCCAGUCCCUGGGAUUUACAGAUGGCACAGACAGCUUUUGUCACUUGCCCAGGGUCACCCAGCUAGAAAUUAAUGAAGGCAGGAUUUGAACCUGGGAAGUCCAGCUCCCGAGUCCACGCAUCAGCUAACUCAAAUAGCUCUAAACGUGGACAUGACGACGGUAGCUUAAGCCGCCGAAGGAUGGCCAGAGGGGCCUGGUGUUGUGAAAGAAGCUUGAUGAGCAGCACUGCACCACCAGUGCAAGGCACACCUAUGCCUCGGUGGUGUUUCCCAGACAUCGAGCAUCUCUGGAUCUCAUGACACCCUGCAUCUCUCUCUCCAGUGCACCCAUGCUCAUCCUCAGUGACUCCUCUAGAAUUCUUGUGAUUUUUUAACUGGUGGGGGACAGAGAGAUCAUAGGAGCCCAUUUUUCAGAUAGAGAAAACUGAGCCUCAAGACCCGGGGGAGGAUCAAAAGGAACAAGUGGUAGUCUGGAAAAAAGUGGAACAAUGCUGUUUAACUUGCUGGCCGAAACUGGCUCAUCACAAAGGAGACAGACGAGGGAGCAGUGUGGCCACUUCUGACAUCAGUCUCAGGGAACACAGUUUCUCAACAUUCGUGGUAAAAAGUGAAGAGCAUCUCCACUCUAACGAUAAAAAUCAAAAGGCCUUUCAUGUUUUUGCACAUUCAGGUUAACAUAAUGAGAAAUGACGCUGGGAAUGACUGAUGAGCAGCUGUAAGCCCAUAUGUCUGGGGUGUUGCCUUUUUCUCUGAAUAGCAUACGUGUUUCUGCCUACCAAGAUCUCAGUGUGGCUGAGUGACUGAGCCUUCAGGCUUGGUAUUUCCCUGCCUCCUCUGUGGAUUUCCAAUUCUUUGACGUCAAGAAUUUUCUCUUUUGCACAGCUUUGCCUCUUCCAGGAGGUGAAUGGUACGGGGAUGACUCACAAAAGUCUUCAGAUAAGAGGCGGACAAAAGAGACCCUUGUUCAGUGGCAGAAGUACCUGCAAAGCCUUAGCUUUGCUUGAGAUAUGACCUAUAACUGCUCUGAUUUUUGGACCCCAGAAAACCCUUGAAAGCUCAGCUUCCUUAUUGCUGUGUGUUCACCUUAUAACAGCACCGCAGAGCCUAGGAAAUAAAGGCACAGACUCUCUUCAGAAAA
Long non-coding RNA from Pan troglodytes (chimpanzee), 1800 nucleotides. RefSeq lists it as uncharacterized. The record is from RefSeq and is a predicted model, not a curated record. Lineage: Eukaryota; Metazoa; Chordata; Mammalia; Primates; Hominidae. The transcript has 5 exons.